Molecule: ribosomal RNA, 465 nt
Filed under: uncultured bacterium
Lineage: Bacteria
Description: partial 16S ribosomal RNA
Rfam family: Bacterial small subunit ribosomal RNA
Source: RNAcentral
GACGAACGCUGGCGGCGUGCUUAACACAUGCAAGUCGAACGGAAAGGCCCUGCUUGCAGGGUACUCGAGUGGCGAACGGGUGAGUAACACGUGGGUGAUCUGCCCUGCACUUCGGGAUAAGCCUGGGAAACUGGGUCUAAUACCGGAUAGGAGCCAUUUUUAGUGUGAUGGUUGGAAAGUUUUUUCGGUGUAGGAUGAGCUCGCGGCCUAUCAGCUUGUUGGUGGGGUAAUGGCCUACCAAGGCGGCGACGGGUAGCCGGCCUGGGAGGGUGGACGGCCACAUUGGGACUGAGAUACGGCCCAGACGCCUACGGGAGGCAGCAGUGGGGAAUAUUGCACAAUGGGCGCAAGCCUGAUGCAGCGACGCCGCGUGGGGGAUGACGGCCUUCGGGUUGUAAACUCCUUUCGCUAGGGACGAAGCUUUUUGUGACGGUACCUAGAUAAGAAGCACCGGCUAACUACGUG